RNAcentral lists this ribosomal RNA (430 nucleotides) under uncultured bacterium. Its description in RNAcentral is "partial 16S ribosomal RNA". It matches the Rfam family "Bacterial small subunit ribosomal RNA", at positions 29 to 507 of the family's 1533-position model. The record is from RNAcentral.
ACGAACGCUGGCGGCAGGCUUAACACAUGCAAGUCGAACGCCCCGCACGGGGAGCGGCAGACGGGUGAGUAACGCGUGGGAACAUACCCUUUUCUACGGAAUAGCUCUGGGAAACUGGAAUUAAUACCGUAUACGCCCUACGGGGGAAAGAUUUAUCGGGGAAGGAUUGGCCCGCGUUGGAUUAGCUAGUUGGUGGGGUAAAGGCCUACCAAGGCGACGAUCCAUAGCUGGUCUGAGAGGAUGAUCAGCCACAUUGGGACUGAGACACGGCCCAAACUCCUACGGGAGGCAGCAGUGGGGAAUAUUGGACAAUGGGCGCAAGCCUGAUCCAGCCAUGCCGCGUGAGUGAUGAAGGCCUUAGGGUUGUAAAGCUCUUUCACCGAUGAAGAUAAUGACGGUAGUCGGAGAAGAAGCCCCGGCUAACUUCGUG